CCUACGGGAGGCAGCAGUGGGGAAUAUUGGGCAAUGGGCGGAAUCCUGACCCAGCAACGCCGCGUGCAGGACGAAGGCUUUCGGGUUGUAAACUUGUUUUCUCAGGGACGAAGAAAGUGACGGUACCUGAGGAAUAAGCCACGGCUAACUACGUGCCAGCAGCCGCGGUAAUACGUAGGUGGCAAGCGUUAUCCGGAUUUAUUGGGUGUAAGGGGCGUGUAGGCGGGAGCGCAAGUCAGAUGUGAAAACCCAGGGCUCAACACUGAGCCUGCAUUUGAAACUGUGGUUCUUGAGUGCUGGAGCGGCAAUCGGAAUGUCGAGUGUAGCGGUGAAAUGCGUAGAUAUACGGAGGAACACCAGUGGCGAAGGCGGAUUGCUGGACAGGAACUGACGCUGAGGCGCGAAAGCGUGGGGAGCAAACAGGAUUAGAUACCCGGGUAGUC
This 443-nucleotide ribosomal RNA is filed under the name uncultured bacterium. RNAcentral describes it as "partial 16S ribosomal RNA". It matches the Rfam family "Bacterial small subunit ribosomal RNA", at positions 338 to 795 of the family's 1533-position model. The record is from RNAcentral.